CCUACGGGCGGCUGCAGUGAGGAAUAUUGCACAAUGGGGGAAACCCUGAUGCAGCAACGCCGCGUGGAGGAUUGACGGUCCUUGGAUUGUAAACUCCUUUUCUGUGGGACGAGCGAGGACGGUACCACAGGAAUCAGUCACGGCUAACUACGUGCCAGCAGCCGCGGUAAUACGUAGGUGGCGAGCGUUAUCCGGAAUUACUGGGCGUAAAGCGCACGCAGGCGGCUCGUUAAGUUUGACGUAAAAUCUCCUGGCUUAACUGGGAGGGGUCGUUGGAGACUGGCGAGCUUGAGGCGAUGAGAGGGGCAUGGAAUUCCCGGUGUAGUGGUGGAAUGCGUAGAGAUCGGGAGGAACACCAGAGGCGAAAGCGGUGCCCUGGCAUUGGCCUGACGCUCAUGUGCGAAAGCGUGGGGAGCGAACGGGCUUAGAUACCCCGGUAGUC
Molecule: ribosomal RNA, 442 nt
Filed under: uncultured Caldilinea sp.
Lineage: Bacteria; Bacillati; Chloroflexota; Caldilineae; Caldilineales; Caldilineaceae
Description: bacterial SSU rRNA
Rfam family: Bacterial small subunit ribosomal RNA
Source: RNAcentral